GGCUGUCUUCAUUUAAAUUUUGCAUAGAUAUUUUGAAGAAAAAAAAUGAUGAAAUGAAAUGUCCCAGGGGAAAUUUAGUUUGAAAACUUGAAAUAUUUCAUUGACACAACUCCCUUUCAAGACACAAUAUGGUACAAUUAGGCAAAAUGUAAAUUUACAGGUUACAUUUUUUCUUUCAAUACAAACCAUCUCAGUGAUAAGUAGGUUAUACAGUGCACCCAAAUGACUAGACUAGUAUAAGACGGAGAAGAAGGAUAGGUCAAUAUAAGAAACCUACAAGGCUACUUCAGUUCAAUUUAAAUAUUUAGAUUAUUCUAAUGAAAUAAUCAAAUGUCAGAGAGAAAAU
This 346-nucleotide long non-coding RNA is filed under the name Mytilus galloprovincialis (Mediterranean mussel). Lineage: Eukaryota; Metazoa; Mollusca; Bivalvia; Mytilida; Mytilidae. The record is from RNAcentral.